Molecule: ribosomal RNA, 1378 nt
Filed under: uncultured bacterium
Lineage: Bacteria
Description: bacterial SSU rRNA
Rfam family: Bacterial small subunit ribosomal RNA
Source: RNAcentral
GAUUGAACGCUGGCGGUAUGCUUAACACAUGCAAGUCGAACGGAAACGAUACUAGCUUGCUAGUAGGCGUCGAGUGGCGGACGGGUGAGUAACGCGUAGGAAUCUGCCUGAUAGUGGGGGAUAGCCCGAAGAAAUUCGGAUUAAUACCGCAUAAUCUAUUCGUAGUAAAGUGGGGGACUUUCGAGCCUCACGCUAUCAGAUGAGCCUGCGUAAGAUUAGCUUGUUGGUAGGGUAAAAGCCUACCAAGGCGACGAUCUUUAGCUGGUCUGAGAGGAUGAUCAGCCACAUCGGGACUGAGACACGGCCCGAACUCCUACGGGAGGCAGCAGUGGGGAAUAUUGGACAAUGGGGGCAACCCUGAUCCAGCAAUACCGCGUGUGUGAAGAAGGCCUGAGGGUUGUAAAGCACUUUCAAUUGUGAAGAAAAGUUAGCGGUUAAUAACCGUUAGCCUUGACGUUAACUUUAGAAGAAGCACCGGCUAACUCCGUGCCAGCAGCCGCGGUAAUACGGAGGGUGCAAGCGUUAAUCGGAAUUACUGGGCGUAAAGCGUGCGUAGGCGGUUUAUUAAGUCAGAUGUGAAAGCCCCGGGCUUAACCUGGGAACUGCAUUUGAAACUGGUCAAACUAGAGUAUGGUAGAGGAAAGUGGAAUUUCUGGUGUAGCGGUGAAAUGCGUAGAUAUCAGAAGGAACAUCAAUGGCGAAGGCAGCUUUCUGGACCAAUACUGACGCUGAGGUACGAAAGCGUGGGUAGCAAACAGGAUUAGAUACCCUGGGUAGUCCACGCCGUAAACGAUGAUAACUAGCCGUUGGGGGGAUUUACCCUUUAGUGGCGAAGCUAACGCGUUAAGUUAUCCGCCUGGGGAGUACGGCCGCAAGGUUAAAACUCAAAGGAAUUGACGGGGACCCGCACAAGCGGUGGAGCAUGUGGUUUAAUUCGAUGCAACGCGAAGAACCUUACCUGGUCUUGACAUCCUGCGAACUUUCUAGAAAUAGAUUGGUGCCUUCGGGAACGCAGUGACAGGUGCUGCAUGGCUGUCGUCAGCUCGUGUCGUGAGAUGUUGGGUUAAGUCCCGUAACGAGCGCAACCCCUAUCCUUAUUUGCCAGCACAUCAUGGUGGGAACUAUAAGGAGACUGCCGGUGAUAAACCGGAGGAAGGCGGGGACGACGUCAAGUCAUCAUGGCCCUUACGACCAGGGCUACACACGUGCUACAAUGGGAAGGACAAAGAGCCGCGAAGCCGCGAGGUGUAGCUAAUCUCAUAAACCUUUUCGUAGUCCGGAUUGGAGUCUGCAACUCGACUCCAUGAAGUCGGAAUCGCUAGUAAUCGUAGAUCAGAAUGCUACGGUGAAUACGUUCCCGGGUCUUGUACACACUGCC